UACGGAGGGUGCAAGCGUUACUCGGAAUUACUGGGCGUAAAGCGCACGCAGGCGGUUUGUUAAGUCAGAUGUGAAAUCCCCGAGCUUAACUUGGGAACUGCAUUUGAAACUGGCAAGCUAGAGUCUUGUAGAGGGGGGUAGAAUUCCAGGUGUAGCGGUGAAAUGCGUAGAGAUCUGGAGGAAUACCGGUGGCGAAGGCGGCCCCCUGGACAAAGACUGACGCUCAGGUGCGAAAGCGUGGGGAGCAAACAGG
Molecule: ribosomal RNA, 253 nt
Filed under: uncultured bacterium
Lineage: Bacteria
Description: partial 16S ribosomal RNA
Rfam family: Bacterial small subunit ribosomal RNA
Source: RNAcentral